CGUAAGGGUAAGAUCCCAGGAAGACUACCUGGUUGAUAGGUCGGAGGUGUAAGUGCAGCAAUGUAUGUAGCUUACCGAUACUAAUAGAUCGAGGACUUGACCAA
This 104-nucleotide ribosomal RNA is filed under the name Paraclostridium bifermentans. RNAcentral describes it as "partial 23S ribosomal RNA". It matches the Rfam family "Bacterial large subunit ribosomal RNA", at positions 2821 to 2925 of the family's 2925-position model. Lineage: Bacteria; Bacillati; Bacillota; Clostridia; Peptostreptococcales; Peptostreptococcaceae. The record is from RNAcentral.